GAACUGAAGAGUUUGAUCAUGGCUCAGAUUGAACGCUGGCGGCAGGCCUAACACAUGCAAGUCGAGCGGAUGAAGGGAGCUUGCUCCUGGAUUCAGCGGCGGACGGGUGAGUAAUGCCUAGGAAUCUGCCUGGUAGUGGGGGAUAACGUCCGGAAACGGGCGCUAAUACCGCAUACGUCCUGAGGGAGAAAGUGGGGGAUCUUCGGACCUCACGCUAUCAGAUGAGCCUAGGUCGGAUUAGCUAGUUGGUGGGGUAAAGGCCUACCAAGGCGACGAUCCGUAACUGGUCUGAGAGGAUGAUCAGUCACACUGGAACUGAGACACGGUCCAGACUCCUACGGGAGGCAGCAGUGGGGAAUAUUGGACAAUGGGCGAAAGCCUGAUCCAGCCAUGCCGCGUGUGUGAAGAAGGUCUUCGGAUUGUAAAGCACUUUAAGUUGGGAGGAAGGGCAGUAAGUUAAUACCUUGCUGUUUUGACGUUACCAACAGAAUAAGCACCGGCUAACUUCGUGCCAGCAGCCGCGGUAAUACGAAGGGUGCAAGCGUUAAUCGGAAUUACUGGGCGUAAAGCGCGCGUAGGUGGUUCAGCAAGUUGGAUGUGAAAUCCCCGGGCU
RNAcentral lists this ribosomal RNA (613 nucleotides) under Pseudomonas aeruginosa. RNAcentral describes it as "bacterial SSU rRNA". It matches the Rfam family "Bacterial small subunit ribosomal RNA", at positions 1 to 609 of the family's 1533-position model. The record is from RNAcentral. Lineage: Bacteria; Pseudomonadati; Pseudomonadota; Gammaproteobacteria; Pseudomonadales; Pseudomonadaceae.